CGGGCCUGGUUUUCGGAUCAGGUCAGUGGCGCAAGGGUGAGUAAGGCGACGGCAACCAACCCCAUGGUUGGGCAUAGCCGCGGGAAACUGCGGGUAAUUCCCAGCGAAGUUCGUGUCGGGCAUCCGACGGGAACCAAAGUUAAGGCGCCGUGGGACGGGCCGUCGUGGUAUUAGGUAGUUGGCGGGGUAAUGGCCCACCAAGCCGAUGAUGCCUACCGGGCGUGCGAGCGUGGCCCGGCACACUGGGACUGAGACACUGCCCAGACUCCUACGGGAGGCUGCAGUCGAGAAUCUUCGGCAAUGGGCGCAAGCCUGACCGAGCGACGCCGCGUGGAGGAUGAAGGCCUUCGGGUUGUAAACUCCUGUCGAGGGGGAGGAAGGGGUAACCUUGACCGAUCCCUGGAGGAAGCACGGGCUAAGUUCGUGCCAGCAGCCGCGGUAAGACGAACCGUGCGAACGUUAUUCGGAAUCACUGGGCUUAAAGCGCGUGUAGGCGGAUGGGGACGUCGGUUGUUGAAAGCCCCCGGCUCAACCGGGGAACUGGCACCGAAACGCCCGGUCUGGAGGGACGUAGGGGGACCUGGAACUUCCGGUGGAGCGGUGAAAUGCGUUGAGAUCGGAAGGAACGCCCGUGGCGAAAGCGAGGUCCUGGACGUUUUCUGACGCUGAGACGCG
This 675-nucleotide ribosomal RNA is filed under the name uncultured Planctomycetota bacterium. RNAcentral describes it as "bacterial SSU rRNA". It matches the Rfam family "Bacterial small subunit ribosomal RNA", at positions 67 to 755 of the family's 1533-position model. Lineage: Bacteria; Pseudomonadati; Planctomycetota. The record is from RNAcentral.